CAGGUGCAACCAGGUCACAGUCAGACAUUUUCCUCAAAUCUCACUCGAAAGCAUCAACACCCCAAAGAGAAGCCAUGAAGCCAGUGAUCGUGCUGUACGUUGCGCUGAUGAUGAUUGCACUGGUGUGCAAUGCUUAUGCUGCAUGUGAGAAUGGAUGGUGUACCAAGAAAUGUAGUAGUAAUGAAUAUGAAGACCGCAAUUCAUACUGUGGGGGUGGAAAUAUAUGCUGUGUUGAAAAAGGCAAUUGAAGAACAUCCGUGAAGGAAGACUGUGUGGAUCAAGCAACAUGCAUUAUUGUUUUGUUUUUUCUUCCAUUUAAGUUUAGUUAAAACAGUCAGACACUUACACAAGAGAUGUAUUCAUCAUGAAUUGCAUUUACGCCAGUUUGAAUAAAAUCAAAUAUCACAACUAA
Long non-coding RNA from Clupea harengus (Atlantic herring), 412 nucleotides. The record is from Ensembl. NCBI's taxonomy places the organism in Eukaryota, Metazoa, Chordata, Actinopteri, Clupeiformes, Clupeidae.